UGUUCCUUGGCUUAGUUGGUAAAGCGUUCGACUGUUAUUUGUACCGCAAUCGAAAGAUCGAGAGUUCAAUCCUCUCAGGAACAG
Molecule: transfer RNA, 84 nt
Organism: Kockovaella imperatae
Lineage: Eukaryota; Fungi; Basidiomycota; Tremellomycetes; Tremellales; Cuniculitremaceae
Rfam family: tRNA
About the family: Transfer RNA (tRNA) molecules are approximately 80 nucleotides in length.
Source: Rfam